CCUACGGGAGGCAGCAGUGGGGAAUUUUUGGCAAUGGGGGAAACCCUGACCAAGCAACGCCGCGUGGAUGAUGAGGUAUCUUGGUACGUAAAAUCCUUUUCGACAGGGAAGAAACCGCAAGGUUGACGGUACCUGUAGAAGAAGCCCCGGCUAACUCCGUGCCAGCAGCCGCGGUAAUACGGGGGGGGCAAGCGUUGUUCGGAAUUACUGGGCGUAAGGGCGCGUAGGCGGUUUGUUAAGUUGGAUGUGAAAACUGUGGGCUCAACCCAUAGCCUGCAUCCAAUACUGACAGGCUAGAGUUCUGGAGGGGAUAGCGGAAUUCCUGGUGUAGCGGUGAAAUGCGUAGAUAUCAGGAGGAACACCGGUGGCGAAGGCGGCUAUCUGGACAGAGUCUGACGCUGAGGCGCGAAAGCUAGGGGAGCAAACAGGAUUAGAUACCCUGGUAGUCCUAGCCCCAAACGACUGGAUACUUAGCUGUGACUGGGAUUGAAUCCAGUCGUGGCGAAGCUAACGCAUUAAGUAUCCGCCUGGGGAUACGGUCGCAAGGCUGAAACUCAAAGGAAUUGACG
RNAcentral lists this ribosomal RNA (569 nucleotides) under uncultured bacterium. Its description in RNAcentral is "bacterial SSU rRNA". It matches the Rfam family "Bacterial small subunit ribosomal RNA", at positions 338 to 915 of the family's 1533-position model. The record is from RNAcentral.